This 253-nucleotide ribosomal RNA is filed under the name uncultured bacterium. RNAcentral describes it as "partial 16S ribosomal RNA". It matches the Rfam family "Bacterial small subunit ribosomal RNA", at positions 524 to 776 of the family's 1533-position model. The record is from RNAcentral.
UACGUAGGGGGCUAGCGUUGUCCGGAAUCAUUGGGCGUAAAGAGCGUGUAGGCGGCCCGGUAAGUCCGCUGUAAAAGUCAAAGGCUCAACCUUUGAAUGUCAGUGGAUACUGCCGGGCUAGAGUCCGGAAGAGGCGAGUGGAACUCCUGGUGUAGCGGUGGAAUGCGCAGAUAUCUGGAGGAACACCGGUGGCGAAGGCGGCAUUCUGGACCGACAUUGACGCUGAGGAGCGAAAGCGUGGGGAGCGAACAGG